RNAcentral lists this ribosomal RNA (264 nucleotides) under uncultured bacterium. RNAcentral describes it as "partial 16S ribosomal RNA". It matches the Rfam family "Bacterial small subunit ribosomal RNA", at positions 793 to 1055 of the family's 1533-position model. The record is from RNAcentral.
GUCCACGCCGUAAACGAUGUCAACUAGCCGUUGGGAGCCUUGAGCUCUUAGUGGCGCAGCUAACGCAUUAAGUUGACCGCCUGGGGAGUACGGCCGCAAAGGUUAAAACUCAAAUGAAUUGACGGGGGCCCGCACAAGCGGUGGAGCAUGUGGUUUAAUUCGAAGCAACGCGAAGAACCUUACCAGGCAUUGACAUCCAAUGAACUUUCCAGAGAUGGAUUGGUGCCUUCGGGAACAUUGAGACAGGUGCUGCAUGGCUGUCGU